CAUUCACAGGGUGCCGAGGAGAGCAGCGGAAGUGGACCUCACUGGUGCAGACAGCAAGGAACGCUACCGAUUAUUGCAAAGAAAUCCUCAUCGAUCUCCCUGCUUCAAGCCUCCCUCCAGUUCAGUCAUGCUCAGGAACCCCCAUCCUCUUCUCAAUCGUGGACCAAUAAAUGACCUGCCAGCGACCAAGCAAGAAAACCUCAGAAGAUACCAAACCUCCCUUGCCAAUCGCGAUAACAAAGAUGUCCCAAGUCACAGCCAAUCUCUCCCAUCCAGGAGAGGAGAGCAGCACGCUGAGAAAAGAGGACCCUGGGUUUCACCCUCUUCCC
Molecule: non-coding RNA, 329 nt
Organism: Phascolarctos cinereus (koala)
Lineage: Eukaryota; Metazoa; Chordata; Mammalia; Diprotodontia; Phascolarctidae
Source: RefSeq, a predicted model, not a curated record